Long non-coding RNA from Mauremys mutica (yellowpond turtle), 1159 nucleotides. RefSeq lists it as uncharacterized. Lineage: Eukaryota; Metazoa; Chordata; Testudines; Geoemydidae. The record is from RefSeq and is a predicted model, not a curated record. The transcript has 5 exons.
CCUCAACCACAGGGAUUAUACAACUUGUUUCACACAGCUUCUUGGAGCUAUCAGGAUUUGUGGGAGUCAAAUCCUUAGCUUGUUGAAGGCCUCAGGCUGAUAGUCAAAAGGAUUUCAAGCAUGCUGAAAAUGCAUGGGGUUUUUCCCUUCUGAAUGACGGCAGAUCCACACAGAAGAGAACAGUCUGGAACUGUGGCCAGUUACUGCAUUCGCUCAAGUAGCAGAGAAGUGUGCUUUGGAUCUAAAGAUCCAUACAGAUGAUGCAUAUGAGGGGAGGAGGCUAGACUUGAAGGAUUCUGGUGUCAGGGCAGGAGCCCAACAGGGUCAAAAUUUAUUUAUAUCAACCUUUUUUCAUUUGCAGACCCCUAAAAACAUUUGAAUGGAGGUGUGUGGACCCUUUUGGAAAUUGUAGCCAUAUUCUGUGGGCCCCUGGGGGUCCACAAACCACAGGUUGAAAACCACUAUUUUAGGAUAACAACAACCUUUCAUGAACCCUUUAGACAUAGUCUGCAGACCCCGCAGGGGUCCGCAGACCAGAAAACCACAAAUUUAUACUGAUCUUCUCAUGUUUCCUCUGGAAAUGUUUUUUUUUCCUUUUGGACUCUGAAAAUGAGCUGUAAGUCACUGCACUUUCUAUGUUAAUGUUCUUGCUUUGCAUUGCCCUAUUUGGGAAUUUCCAUUUUGGUUGUGUUUAAGACUGGGGAAAGAAUGCAGGAAAAUUACCUUCUGUGUAAUGCUAUAAAUAUUUAUUUUCAAACUUUAUUUAUGAAAAGAUUAUUAACAAUUUGUGUUGGGUUUUCUGACCCCCUGAUUUCUUGAUAGGUAAAGGGCGGAAUCAGGUGGGAAUACGAGGUGAGCCCUACUUUAUGGGGGCUGUCCCUGAGUCUUUUGCACCUGCAGCUACGCUGAUUUGGAUUUAAAGGUCAAGGUGAUCACACAAGUGUGAAAACCAUCAUUAUCAAUGACAUCCAGAGGAGCCUGCCUGCAGGCAAUGAAUUCCUGGACAAAAUCCAGCUGUCUGAAGAACAGUCCAGAGAAGUCAGAAGUCAAUGAUGCUGGUAGGGAAAGGGAAAUGCUUUGAGCUCAUGCAGUCACUGAGGAGACACCCAGGAGUGACAGGUUUGUAUAAUUUUUGGUGGUGCCCAGCACGGGUCCAAGU